AUAUCGGAACGUGCCCAGUAAUGGGGAAUAACUAGCCGAAAGGUUAGCUAAUACCGCAUACGACCUACGGGUGAAAGCAGGGGAUCUUUUGACCUUGCGUUAUUGGAGCGGCCGAUAUCUGAUUAGCUUGUUGGUAGGGUAAAAGCCUACCAAGGCAACGAUCAGUAGCUGGUCUGAGAGGACGAUCAGCCACACUGGAACUGAGACACGGUCCAGACUCCUACGGGAGGCAGCAGUGGGGAAUUUUGGACAAUGGGGGCAACCCUGAUCCAGCCAUCCCGCGUGAGUGAAGAAGGCCUU
RNAcentral lists this ribosomal RNA (300 nucleotides) under uncultured Methylophilaceae bacterium. RNAcentral's name for it is "bacterial SSU rRNA". It matches the Rfam family "Bacterial small subunit ribosomal RNA", at positions 115 to 418 of the family's 1533-position model. Lineage: Bacteria; Pseudomonadati; Pseudomonadota; Betaproteobacteria; Nitrosomonadales; Methylophilaceae. The record is from RNAcentral.